CAAGGUUUACAGAUCUUGAAUGUUGGAGAAUGUGGAGAAUAUUUCAGCAAUCAUCCUACACGUUUAUUCACAUGUUGGUUAAACAUUCCCCCUGUAUGUAUCUGUACAGAACUGCUCUCCCAGGCAAAACCAAAAGGUGAGAAGAGAUCUACCGGACAAACUCACAGCUAUUCUUUCAGCAGGACCCAUCUCUGCAGCAAAGAGGAAACUGACAAACUGGCCUGGAGCCCAGAUCAUGCUAUCAGUGGCCGGAGGAUUGAUUGGCCUCUUUUUUCUGACAGCACUGGGUGUGCGUGCAGCACACGCUAUAACACAGCACAACCCCAGACAUCAAUAAAGUGUGUAUACCUGCA
Anguilla rostrata (American eel) is the source of this 353-nucleotide long non-coding RNA. RefSeq lists it as uncharacterized. The transcript has 2 exons. The record is from RefSeq and is a predicted model, not a curated record. NCBI's taxonomy places the organism in Eukaryota, Metazoa, Chordata, Actinopteri, Anguilliformes, Anguillidae.